Long non-coding RNA from Tympanuchus pallidicinctus (lesser prairie-chicken), 2369 nucleotides. RefSeq lists it as uncharacterized. The record is from RefSeq and is a predicted model, not a curated record. The transcript is spliced from 3 exons. Lineage: Eukaryota; Metazoa; Chordata; Aves; Galliformes; Phasianidae.
GCUGCAUCCCUAUUAAGACCUGCAGUAUGCAGAGGUGUGGGAAGGUCAAUUACUUCUCUCCGCAUGAUGCCCUCAAAGGGAUCUGUGCUUCUUAUCUCAAUUAACUCACACAGAAAUGGAUUUGCCAGGCAAGUGAUAGAGGCUGUUUCCUAUUCCUUCUAAGUGUGACCUAACUAGAAAGAAAACUUCUGUUAAUGUCUUUGGGUGCAGUGCUGAACUCUUGAAUGAAAAAAAUGAGCAAAGCAUAGGCGAUGGAGCAGCUCAGGGAUAGGGGUGUAUUCUGCAUGGCAGCAGGACUGUAGCUGUGUAGCUGUGGGUGCCUGCUGGAGCCAUUACUCAUCCUGCAUGCCUUUCACAUCUUGGAGGCAUUUCAUGGUUUUUAUUUAGCCCGUGCAUGACCACAGUUCAGUUCAGCAGCUGCAUAACACCGCUGUCUAAAACAGGAUAUUAUGGACAGGUGUCCUGAAAAACUGGAGUUUGUUCUUAAUUUCUCUGUCGCAAUAUGUUCCAGCAAGGUCAAAGCCUGAGCAAUCUGCAUGCUGAGCCAACCUCUUACGAUCUGCUUUUUGUUUUUGACCAAGAGAUUACAAGGUGCAAAGACAGUGUUAAGGUGAGAUGUGCUCACCAAAUCGUUGCUGAUUUGCAUUUGGUGUAAGACUUCAAACACUGCCAGCCUUUUAUGUAGGUCAUGUCUUUGUUUUUGUGUCAUUGCAUGCUUGGGGCACUACAAGACAAAAAAACAGGUACCGUGGUUUUAUCUUUUUCCUCUACCCUCCUUUGCCCUACGUACGUGACCUAGAUUAGUUUGCAAGCAAAAAUUAUGGAGCUCACAAAUGGGAAAGCUGCAGGUAGUCUACGCUUACUGCCUUUAUGGAAACACAGACCUAAAGUUCUCCAAAGGGGCUCACAAAUCCACAUGGGGUUCCUAAAUGCUGCAUCCUGCAUUCGGGUCAUUGGUUAGCUGAAAACAGUUCUGAAGUCACAUACAGGCAAGCAGUUUCCUUUUGGCUAGGUAGUAAAGAAAUAUCAUUGAUGUGUUUAUUCCAAGCUUUGUAAGGGAUAUCAAAGAAGAGCUCACCCAGAUAUGCUUGUUUGCCAGCUGUGAAGAAGAUCUGCACAGGAGUGAGGGACAUAGUAACAGCCCUUGAAGGACAGUGUCCUCUCCUUUUGUGGAGCCCACCAAGUGAUUGGUCCUCACACUGCUGCCAUAACCAAGGAGCUCCUCUGCAGUCUUGAUCGCUGGUCAGCCUGGCAUGCACUGUGGUAACAUAUGAACCUGCCCCCAUCCUUGCUCAGCUCCAUCAGAUGCACUGCAGGUAGCCCCUGCAGCCCAGCUGGACUCAGCAGGGCCCUGAGGAAUGAAUCCAUGCAGCUCAGUUAUGCUUUGAGCAGCCAAGAUGCAGCUGGCUGAACAGACAGAACAAGGCCACCACAUUUGGCUCAUCUGCCUGGUGCCGAUAGAGAGCAGCAGCCCGUUCUGAUUACGGACUCAUGCAGAGGUGAAAUUACUCCCUUGGAACCGGUACAAGGUGCACCACAAGUGGAAGAAGCUGCUGGAAUCCAUCUAGAGUAGACUGCUAAUCGGGAGUGCUUUGAGGUGACUUGUAAGCAAAGGCAAUGCUGUGACAGCCUUCAGAAGCCACGGCCUUUGGUUUAUUUUGGGAAUGCGACUUCUGAAUUCCUCUGAAAGUGAUAUCAGUAAAGUCUAGAUGACACAAACAGCUGGCUCCACUUCCGAUGGGAGCACUUGCCAGUAACCAAAGACCCUCCUCGUAUGCGCAGAAGGAAGCAGAGCCCAGAGGCACUGAAACCAUGCCAGCCCUGCUGAAGGUAGCACUUGAUCUGCAGAGGAGCCACCGGGAACAUGAGACUCCAACCGGAGCCAUUUACACGCUGCUGGAACGUGGCCACAGGAACAAACACUGUGGUGUAAAUUCUGCCUGGGUGAAGGAGAGGCCGGAUUAUUGUCCCACAGAGGUCCCUCCCCACCUGCAGCCUGUCACCACUGGGCAUCCGCUGCUAAACAGCAAUAAGAAAGGUGAAGAACUGAUCCUGAGUUAUCCAUUUACAAGCUGUGUGAGCUGCAAAAAUUGAAAUGAAAGAGGGGGUUAAUUGCACUGAACGUGCUCAGAGGAGGCAGAGCUAGGCUUUCCUGUGGAAAACUGCCAUAUGUGACUCUGCACGCAUUUAUCCUUCCUUUGACUUGUAAUGUGGAAAAAGUCAGUAAUCACAGCAACUCAUGAUGUGUUGUCUCACUUGCAGGGACUGCUUGUAGCAUACAUGGAUUGACACAAAUCCUUAUCAAAACUGGAAUUAUUAUCUGCAAGUCACACUUCAGGUUUCUCAAAUAAAACUACGUUUGAAUUCUG